UGAGCAGUGCUGGUGAUGCAGUAAAGAUGUUUCAGCAAGAUUCAGUGCUUGCAGAAUCCAUUCACAGAUGCUUCAGAGGAAGCUGCAAGACGGUCCCUAUGUGGGCUACAAUGCCGGAAGCAACACUUUGCAUCCAGGAAGUUGCUCGUUUUGUGAUUAGCAUCACCAUGGCCCUAGAGGGAAGGGAUGGCACUGUCUGGACAGACUUCAGGUCUGCUGAGGGUACUUGCACCUGA
RNAcentral lists this long non-coding RNA (236 nucleotides) under Apteryx rowi (Okarito brown kiwi). RNAcentral's name for it is "lncRNA (ENSARWG00000014431.1)". The record is from RNAcentral. Lineage: Eukaryota; Metazoa; Chordata; Aves; Apterygiformes; Apterygidae.